RNAcentral lists this ribosomal RNA (372 nucleotides) under uncultured organism. Its description in RNAcentral is "bacterial SSU rRNA". It matches the Rfam family "Bacterial small subunit ribosomal RNA", at positions 526 to 896 of the family's 1533-position model. The record is from RNAcentral.
CGGGGGGGGCAAGCGUUGUUCGGAAUUACUGGGCGUAAAGGGCUCGUAGGUGGCCAACUAAGUCGGACGUGAAAUCCCUCGGCUUAACCGGGGAACUGCGUCCGAUACUGGUUGGCUUGAGUUUGGGAGAGGGAUGCGGAAUUCCAGGUGUAGCGGUGAAAUGCGUAGAUAUCUGGAGGAACACCGGUGGCGAAGGCGGCAUCCUGGACCAAUACUGACGCUGAGGAGCGAAAGCCAGGGGAGCAAACGGGAUUAGAUACCCCGGUAGUCCUGGCCCUAAACGAUGAAUGCUUGGUGUGGCGGGUAUCGAUCCCUGCCGUGCCGAAGCUAACGCAUUAAGCAUUCCGCCUGGGGAGUACGGUCGCAAGGCUG